CCUACGGGAGGCAGCAGUGAGGAAUAUUGGUCAAUGGGAGAGAUCCUGAACCAGCCAAGCCGCGUGAGGGAAGACGGCCCUAUUGGUUGUAAACCUCUUUGGUCGGAGAACAAAACCCGGGACGUGUCCCGGACUGCGUGUAUCCGAAAAAAAAGCAUCGGCUAACUCCGUGCCAGCAGCCGCGGUAAUACGGAGGAUGCGAGCGUUAUCCGGAUUUAUUGGGUUUAAAGGGUGCGUAGGCGGUCCGUUAAGUCAGGGGUAAAAUUGCGGGGCUCAACCCCGUCGAGCCGUUGAAACUGGCAGACUGGAGUUGGAGAGAAGUACGCGGAAUGCGCGGUGUAGCGGUGAAAUGCAUAGAUAUCGCGCAGAACUCCGAUUGCGAAGGCAGCGUACCGGCGCCAGACUGACGCUGAGGCACGAAAGCGUGGGGAUCGAACAGGAUUAGAUACCCCUGUAGUC
RNAcentral lists this ribosomal RNA (459 nucleotides) under uncultured bacterium. Its description in RNAcentral is "partial 16S ribosomal RNA". It matches the Rfam family "Bacterial small subunit ribosomal RNA", at positions 338 to 795 of the family's 1533-position model. The record is from RNAcentral.